Molecule: ribosomal RNA, 248 nt
Filed under: uncultured bacterium
Lineage: Bacteria
Description: partial 16S ribosomal RNA
Rfam family: Bacterial small subunit ribosomal RNA
Source: RNAcentral
AUACGUAUGGGGGCAAGCGUUACCCGGAUUUAUUGGGCGUAAAGCGCGCGUAGGCGGCUUGUUAAGUCAGGUGUGAAAUCCGGGGGCUCAACCCGCGGCUUGCAUCUGAAACUGGCAGGCUUGAGUCUGGUAGAGGAAAGUGGAAUUCCUGGUGUAGCGGUGAAAUGCGCAGAUAUCAGGAGGAACACCAGUGGCGAAGGCGGCUUUCUGGGCCACGACUGACGCUGAGGCGCGAGAGCUAGGGGAGC